This is a long non-coding RNA of Amphiprion ocellaris (clown anemonefish), 1441 nucleotides long. RefSeq lists it as uncharacterized. The transcript is spliced from 4 exons. The record is from RefSeq and is a predicted model, not a curated record. NCBI's taxonomy places the organism in Eukaryota, Metazoa, Chordata, Actinopteri, Pomacentridae.
UCUUCCUGUCCCCAUGACAGGUGUCUCUCUCUCUUCCUGUCCCCCAGGACAGGUGUCUCUCUCUCUCUCUCCUGUGUGUUCCAGGGAUGAGGGAUUCACCGUCGAAAAAUGUUCGCAUUUCAACCUGAUCAUUUUCAAGUUUCUUUCACACUGAAAUGAAGUGCAUGACUCAGGUCACACUCCUGCAUCCUUAUGUGACAUAUGAUCUGAGUUGUCCUGAAAAAAUAGAUGUUAUGGACUGUGAUUGUUUUUCAAAAGGAAAAAGCAAAGGUGUGAAACAAAAAUCAGUUUCCAGCAGCUGUUGGUGGUAAAGUGUCCAGUGCCCACCACAGCCAGAGAGAAAGGUCAGUGUAAAUCAAGUUAUUACCAUUAAUAAUAUAUUGCAUUGUUUUUCUUAAAUUUCAUCAUCCUGUUUUAAGUGUUGUUUACCUGAUACUCACGCAGUCAUGAGCACAUCAGGACUGAUCCAAUGUGAUUGUAGAAUGUCUGCAUUUUAUGUAGUUUACAAGUGUUUUCGUGCUACCUGUCAAAAUCACUUUAAACCAUUUAAAUAAUUUUAAAUCACUUUAAACCACGUUGUCUUGAAAGGUGUAAACACUGUUUUAUUGACUUUUAAUACAAUUAGUAUUUCUAUAGAUUUUAAAAUUAGAAAUGUUUAUAGUAUUAUACAGCAAGUUUUUUAGAGUAUAUACUAACCGUUAACGUUCAUGUUACUAACCUGUCUGUUUUGCCUUUUUGUUAUUUUUGUUUUUGUAUGUAAGCUGCUGAAUAUUUUGAAUUUCCCUCGGGAUUAAUAAAGCGUCUGUCCGUCGAGUCGUCGGAUCCUCUUGAUCCUCAUCAGGGUCAUGGGGGGCUGGAGUCUAUCCCAGCUGACUGCGGGUGAAGGCAGGGGACACCUGGACAGGGGGAGGUGGUGCACUGGCUGGCCUGUUGGCUGGAUGCAGCCUGCAGGAAGGGCUCCACUCCCACAGUGGGUAAAGGACUGAUGGAGGGAGGAUCCUUCACUCGUCCAAACUCAGACAUAAAAUAUAAUGAGGCGAAACGAGAGUGGUGUCUUUCAAUGUGUUUACUUCUGAACUGCCAGACCAGACUGCCAAACAUGGGGUAACAGGCAUCCCAUAAUACCUUGCGCAGGUACUUCUUAAAGUGACCAUAACACUGUUUUAUACAUUACAAAUAUCAAUAUUGUAUUACUCAUAUGUGACAUCAAGUUCAGUGUUCAGCUAGCAGUGCCUUAAAAAAAUAAAUCCUAACAUGUCCUUGUCUCAGUCUGAUCCAGUUCUUCUCUAAGAUGAGGAAGUGGGCCGACAUGUCCAACCUCUCGCAGGACUUCAGGCUACAAAUGGAUGGCUGGAGCGAAACUUUGAGGUCUCCACCGUGAUCUUCCGCAAGUUUGAUGUCUUGAUUUAGUAAUGAGUCGUGGCCCCUCCAGUCAGGAAGC